Molecule: ribosomal RNA, 250 nt
Filed under: uncultured bacterium
Lineage: Bacteria
Description: partial 16S ribosomal RNA
Rfam family: Bacterial small subunit ribosomal RNA
Source: RNAcentral
UACGGAGGGUGCAAGCGUUGUUCGGAAUUACUGGGCGUAAAGCGCACGUAGGCGGGUUUACAAGUCGAUUGUGAAAGCCCCGGGCUCAAUCCGGGAAUGGCAGUCGAAACUGUAAGUCUUGAAUACCUGAGAGGGUGACGGAAUUCCUGGUGUAGAAGUGAAAUUCGUAGAUAUCAGGAGGAACACCGGAGGCGAAGGCGGUUGCCUGGCAGUGUAUUGACGCUGAGGUGCGAAAGCGUGGGGAGCAAAC